This 836-nucleotide ribosomal RNA is filed under the name uncultured Bacteroidota bacterium. RNAcentral's name for it is "bacterial SSU rRNA". It matches the Rfam family "Bacterial small subunit ribosomal RNA", at positions 60 to 905 of the family's 1533-position model. Lineage: Bacteria; Pseudomonadati; Bacteroidota. The record is from RNAcentral.
AGCACAAGGAGCAAUCUGAGGUGGCGACCGGCGCACGGGUGAGUAACACGUAUGCAACCUGCCUGUAAGAGGGGGAUAACCCGUUGAAAGACGGACUAAUACCGCAUAAUACUGAAUAACCGCAUGGUUAAUUAGUUAAACAUUUAUGGCUUACAGAUGGGCAUGCGCAUGAUUAGCUAGUUGGUGAGGUAACGGCUCACCAAGGCAACGAUCAUUAGGGGUUCUGAGAGGAAGGUCCCCCACACUGGUACUGAGACACGGACCAGACUCCUACGGGAGGCAGCAGUGAGGAAUAUUGGUCAAUGGGCGAGAGCCUGAACCAGCCAAGUCGCGUGAAGGAUGAAGGUUUUAUGAAUUGUAAACUUCUUUUGCAGGGGAAUAAAGUACGGUACGUGUACCGUUUUGUAUGUACUCUGCGAAUAAGGAUCGGCUAACUCCGUGCCAGCAGCCGCGGUAAUACGGAGGGGGGGGGGCGUUAUCCGGAUUUAUUGGGUUUAAAGGGUGCGCAGGCGGGUUGAUAAGUCAGCGGUGAAAGUUUGCAGCUUAACUGUAAAAUUGCCGUUGAAACUGUCGAUCUUGAGUGCAAAUGAGGUAAGCGGAAUGUGUUGUGUAGCGGUGAAAUGCUUAGAUAUAACACAGAACACCGAUUGCGAAGGCAGCUUACUGGGAUGCAACUGACGCUCAUGCACGAAAGCGUGGGGAUCAAACAGGAUUAGAUACCCUGGUAGUCCACGCAGUAAACGAUGAAUACUAACUGUUUGCGAUAUACAGUAAGCGGUACAGCGAAAGCGUUAAGUAUUCCACCUGGGAGUACGUUCGCAAGAAUGAAACUCAAA